CGACUGCGCAGCUCGCCCACGCUCGGUCGCUCGCCCACUUGCCGGCGACGCCUAGCAGCUCCCCCACGCCGAGCCGCGGCUCCCCCGCGCCGCCCUGCCGCGCCGCAGCUCGCCCGCGCAGCUCCCCCGCCUAGUUCUCUCCUCCCUACCCUGCAAAUACUGCUUCCGCCGCGCCACAGCUCCCCCGCGAAGCUCAAGGAACGGCUUUGCCCCUUCCUUGAGUCCCUCGUCAUCGCCUUCCUCGAGUCCCUCGUCGUCGGCUCAUCGCCAUGGCUUGUGCCCUCCUUCCUUCUCCAUGGUGAGCUCCUCCCUGCUGCCUCCAUCCAUGUCCGCCAUCGAGCAGGCCAUGGUGGCGGCCAGAUCCGCGCCUGCUCGUCAGGAGACGGACGCCAUGGAGCUGUUCGUCAAGGUCCGACCUUGGUGAGUGCCGACGCCAAGCAGGGCGUCGAGCAGGCGUGCUCCGCCGGUGAGUCGCUCUAG
Molecule: ribosomal RNA, 480 nt
Filed under: Triticum aestivum (bread wheat)
Lineage: Eukaryota; Viridiplantae; Streptophyta; Magnoliopsida; Poales; Poaceae
Description: partial small subunit ribosomal RNA
Source: RNAcentral